UACGUAGGGGGCAAGCGUUGUCCGGAAUCAUUGGGCGUAAAGAGCGCGUAGGCGGCCCUGUAAGUCCGCUGUGAAAGUCAAGGGCUCAACCCCUUGAAUGCCGGUGGAUACUGCAGGGCUAGAGUCCGGAAGAGGCGAGUGGAAUUCCUGGUGUAGCGGUGAAAUGCGCAGAUAUCAGGAGGAACACCGAUGGCGAAGGCAGCUCGCUGGGACGGUACUGACGCUGAGGCGCGAAAGCGUGGGGAGCAAACAGG
Molecule: ribosomal RNA, 254 nt
Filed under: uncultured bacterium
Lineage: Bacteria
Description: partial 16S ribosomal RNA
Rfam family: Bacterial small subunit ribosomal RNA
Source: RNAcentral